Molecule: unclassified non-coding RNA, 465 nt
Filed under: Hevea brasiliensis (rubber tree)
Lineage: Eukaryota; Viridiplantae; Streptophyta; Magnoliopsida; Malpighiales; Euphorbiaceae
Source: RNAcentral
CCUUGACCCACACGGCCUCGCCGAACUUGACGCCGUUCCGGGCGAGGAGCUCCGGGAAGACGCAGCCGAGCGCGCCCAGCAUGGCCCACCGGCAGUGGAUCACCUCCAGCUCCCGGUUCUUGGCGAACGUCUCCGGGUCGGCGGAGAGCCCCGCGGUGUCCCACCCGUAGUCGCCGGGGAACUCGCCGGUGAGGUAGGACGGCGGCUCGCCGGAGAGCGGGCCGAGGUAGAGCACGCGGUCGGCGCCGUACCACGGGCUCCCCGACGCCGCGGCGGGCUUGGGCUUGGCCGCCGACUUGCGCAUCGUGACGCGGCCCUCGCCGAACACCUUGGCAUUGGCGACCGCCUUGCCGGCGAGGGCGGCAGGGGAGGAGAGUGCCAUGGUGGACGCCGCCAUUGACGCGAGCCUAGGACUAGGAGGAGAUGGCCACAGAUGCUUUUGGAAUGUGUGUCUUUUGAGCUCGU